Molecule: long non-coding RNA, 285 nt
Filed under: Brassica napus (rape)
Lineage: Eukaryota; Viridiplantae; Streptophyta; Magnoliopsida; Brassicales; Brassicaceae
Description: long non-coding RNA (BNAP_LNC002321)
Source: RNAcentral
GAGUAAGGACUAUAGUAUGAACAAGGGACGAUUCAUGCAUAUACAUGAAGAAUCACGAGCUUAGAGCUUUGGUUUGCACGUGAACAUAUAUGUACAACACAUAUAAUGUUAAUGUAUUGUGGUAUGUUUGUAAGUAAGCGAAGAAACGACGAUGAAUACUUAAAGAGAAAAGUGUUAAUAAUAAUACUUUGCAAUAGAAUUCGCACUUCCCAACGAAGGAAGAGAGAGGUGGGGGGAAGAAAGGGACGUGUGCAUGGGAGUGUGAUUAAGCGUCGCCUCAUUCAC